Molecule: ribosomal RNA, 253 nt
Filed under: uncultured bacterium
Lineage: Bacteria
Description: partial 16S ribosomal RNA
Rfam family: Bacterial small subunit ribosomal RNA
Source: RNAcentral
UACGGGGGGGGCAAGCGUUGUUCGGAAUUACUGGGCGUAAAGGGUUCGUAGGUGGCUUGCUAAGUCAGACGUGAAAUCCCCCAGCUUAACUGGGGAACUGCGUCUGAUACUGGCGAGCUUGAGUGCAGGAGAGGAACGCGGAAUUCCAGGUGUAGCGGUGAAAUGCGUAGAUAUCUGGAGGAACACCGGUGGCGAAGGCGGCGUUCUGGACUGCAACUGACACUGAUGAACGAAAGCCAGGGGAGCAAACGGG